AGCGAACGCUGGCGGCAGGCCUAACACAUGCAAGUCGAACGGAUCCUUCGGGAUUAGUGGCGGACGGGUGAGUAACACGUGGGAACGUGCCCUUUGGUUCGGAACAACUCAGGGAAACUUGAGCUAAUACCGGAUGUGCCCUUCGGGGGAAAGAUUUAUCGCACUUGGAGCGGCCCGCGUCUGAUUAGCUAGUUGGUGAGGUAACGGCCCACCAAGGCGUCGAUCAGUAGCUGGUCUGAGAGGAUGAGCAGCCACACUGGGACUGAGACACGGCCCAGACUCCUACGGGAGGCAGCAGUGGGGAAUCUUGCGCAAUGGGCGAAAGCCUGACGCACCCAUGCCGCGUGAAUGAUUAAGUUCUUAGGAUUGUAAAAUUCUUUAAGCGGGGACGAUAAUGACGGUACCCGCAGAAGAAGCUCCGGCUAACUUCGUG
RNAcentral lists this ribosomal RNA (433 nucleotides) under uncultured bacterium. RNAcentral's name for it is "partial 16S ribosomal RNA". It matches the Rfam family "Bacterial small subunit ribosomal RNA", at positions 29 to 507 of the family's 1533-position model. The record is from RNAcentral.